RNAcentral lists this long non-coding RNA (1328 nucleotides) under Coturnix japonica (Japanese quail). RNAcentral describes it as "lncRNA (ENSCJPG00005009586.1)". The record is from RNAcentral. Lineage: Eukaryota; Metazoa; Chordata; Aves; Galliformes; Phasianidae.
UGCGCAAUGUACAAAUGUUACUUGGUUUAAAAAGCAAAGCUGAAUUAAAUGUGUAUGAUUUCUUGUUUGCAUUUUAUACAGAAAUGCCUGAAUCUCUGACUGCUGCACAGUAAUCCAGCUGACUGCUGUUUGGAUAGUAAGAGGCUGGUUCUGCAUUGCCUGUCAGAUUGUUCAUGUUGAGGAGAGCCUCAACAACACUUCUGUAGCCAAGUCGGUUCAACAUUUCUGUCUGAAAAGAGAAGCAGUGCUCCAUCCUGACAGUGCCACAUGUGCUUCAGAACCUGACUGGAAAAUGAACCCAACCUGGGUAUGCAUCACGAUUCACUGUGGCUUUAGAAGUCUGCUACGUGAAAAGUUUUGAUUUUGAGGGAAAAUUACAAGCGAAGGCAAAUGAUUUAAUCUAGAUCAAAGUUAGAAAUAUGAAUAUAGAAUCAAAAGAGAGUUAAGUUUGGUUGGAGUGCUGCGAUUUUUGCCUCAUUACUGAGAUACAGUAACUCUCAAAUAAGCAGAGACUGGGUCCCACUGUCAUGGGGAACUGUGGCUGAGAGCAAAAUGAGACAAUAUUUUGUUUCUUUUCUUGGGAAGUUUCACUACAGCCAACUAUUUUUCUACAAUCCACAUGGUUAAAAAAAAUAUUUGAUUAACUCUGUGGUAUAUGGACAAAGCCUUAGCUUUUGAAAAUGGGAACAUCUGCAUCUACCUGUCAGGACAGAAUCUUCCUUGUGACUAUUAGUGAUGACCAUUGCUAUGCACCUGCCAGUCUCCGGAUGCUGAGGAGUUUUUAUUCUCAUAAGCCCUCUUCAAGUUUGAUAUGAGAGCUUGAGAAGGCCUGUGCAAAUGUGCUGUAUUCUGCAAUUACUUGCAUGUUAUUUGCUGGGAACAUUUUCAGUUUUCUAAUGUAGUUUGUGAUUGGCUAUUGGAAAAUAUACGGUAUUGGCCACCCUUUUUCUGUCUGGAACUUACAAGCUGGUGAUUUAUAAAUUAGAACAGUUUUUGCACAGGUAAAGAUAGAUGCUUGCUUGAAGUGAUCUUGUCUAUACAGCAAAGGUCUGCUUUAUAUGAAUGUUUAUGGGAGCAAAGCUUAAUCUUUGCAUUAAUAUGUGUGAAUAGCAAUCAUGAUAAAACAAAACAUGAGUCAGAAUUAGCAAGUGUUUUAUCAGUUUCAUAUUCUCACUUUUCUGCUCAGUCCACCAGUUCCAAGUGGGAGGGACAGUAUAAAUUCUGAGGCUUUCUCAGUUUUGUAAUAGGACUAGCAGGAAGUGAAUGUAUUUUGGGUGAUGUCUGUGGCCAUGAAUAAAGAAUGUAUUUGGUAAUAAGAUGUUUAAUGA